GUUAGGAAUCUUCCACAAUGGGGGCAACCCUGAUGGAGCAACACCGCGUGCUGGAUGAAGGCCUUCGGGUCGUAAACAGCUUUUGUAUACGAAGAAUAUGACGGUAAUAUACGAAUAAGGGUCGGCUAACUACGUGCCAGCAGCCGCGGUCAUACGUAGGACCCAAGCGUUAUCCGGAGUGACUGGGCGUAAAGAGUUGCGUAGGCGGCUUAUUAAGCGAGUAGUGAAAUCUGGUGGCUCAACCAUCAACACAUUGCUCGAACUGAUAGGCUUGAGAAUGGUAGAGGUAGUUGGAAUUUCUUGUGUAGGAGUGAAAUCCGUAGAUAUAAGAAGGAACACCAAUGGCGUAGGCAGACUACUGGACCAUUUCUGACGCUGAGGCACGAAAGCGUGGGGAGCGAACCGGAUUAGAUACCCGGGUAGUCC
Molecule: ribosomal RNA, 426 nt
Filed under: uncultured bacterium
Lineage: Bacteria
Description: partial 16S ribosomal RNA
Rfam family: Bacterial small subunit ribosomal RNA
Source: RNAcentral